This 4806-nucleotide long non-coding RNA is filed under the name Homo sapiens (human). Its description in RNAcentral is "HSALNT0407177". The record is from RNAcentral. Lineage: Eukaryota; Metazoa; Chordata; Mammalia; Primates; Hominidae.
UUUAUAAAGGGCAAUUCCCCUGCACAAGCUCUCUUUCCUGCCACCAUGUAAGAUGUGACUUUGCUCCCCAUUCACCUUCAGCCAUGAUUGUGAGACCUCCCCAGCCAUGUGGAACUGUAGUUUUGUUUCACUCUAAUGCUUCCCUUAACGUGCUUAGCCAGAGUACUUUGGUUAUAAACCGGAGUACUUUGUCUUCAACAAGAAGGGACUGUCUCAGAGACCCAGGAAAAGGUCUAUGCCAGGCAGUAUGGGGCACAGACUUCUGAGGAAUUGUUAAGAUAAUAUUGACAACAUACCAUGGACUGAGUCAAGCUAUCCAGUAAUCUAGUGAAGAAGCUGAUGAGUUCAUGAGACUGCCGGUUCAAACUCAGCAUGAUUUUAUCGUCUUUCAAGAAGGAGAGAAUGUAAAUAAAUUAGCUAACUUUGGAAUCUUGCAUUCUCAUUUGUUUAGUAGUUAUUUAAAUUCAUUAAAUUGCUUCAUAUAAGUAACCAUUAUUCUUGACGGUAAAAUUAAGUUUUUCUGUGCCUGGCUUAUUUCACUUAGCAUAAUGUCUUCCUUGGUCAUCCAUGUUAUUACAAAUGGUAAGAUGUUUUUCUUUUGCGAGACUGAUCUUAUUUUCUCAAGAUGACUGACUGGAAACAUCAGAUGCCAGUUCUCAGAAAGAUCAAAGUUACAACUGAAUGGUCAUGAUGUGAACAGAAAGCUAAAGGAAGAGAGCCGGGACUGUUGCAGAGCCCACAGGAAAAAGCUGGGACACAGAAAAGGAAGGUAGCAAGAGUCUGGCAGAGAUUGACCUCCGAGGAAUUUGAAGUCCCACAGAGGGAAUGCAGCAGAGGCUUUCUCCACUGCAGACUGUCACGAAUGCACUUGAAGACAGCCUUUCCAGUGCUAUUCACAGAAACUGCACCCCCGUUGAAAGUGAGCUUGUACCCCACUGGCAUGCAUGAUGGGCAGGGCCCAAUCUCCCCCUCCGUACAUAGAGGAGCAGCAUCGCAGCAACAGAAGGCAGUCAAGCCAUGAAGCCUGGUCUGGACUGGAAGAAGAAGCAUUGUCCUGGGGUCAUUUCAGUCCUGGGGUCAUUUCAAAAUAUUCUUCUGCCAGAAUAUUUUCUCUGACCUCAGUAACACUGUGGCCAGAGUCAAAGGACACUGUCUAUAUGAACUGAAGGUCAUGAGCUCUGUGACAGGGGCACAACAGGGAAGCAAAUCACAUUCCUCCCUGCCCAGGACUAGAGACAGAUGUAACCCCCCAACUUCUUCCCCCAAGACCUCAGUACAUCCCAACACAACUCUCCCUGCCUGCCCCCAUCAGGAUGGGUUGCCUCCACUUAUCAAAGGGCUACCAAAUGUUACUCUUAAGCGCCACCUACUGGAAUGGAGACUGCUGCAUCACUGAAUAAAAAUCCCUGCUGUCCGAAGAGCACAGGGUUAGUGCAUGAGAUAAGCUUCCUGAGACCGCUGCAUUCCCAGUCACGCAGGGCAUAGUGUAUUGGCUCAUAUGCCCAACACAUUGCUAAGGCAAGCAGCAUUUGAGAAAACCACCACACAUGAUUCCAUAUCUUUGUUACUGUGAAUGUGCUGCAAUGAACAUGGGAAUGCAGAUAACGCAUCAAAACACUGGUUUCACUUCUUUUGGAUAUAUACCCAGCAAUGAGGUUGCUGGAUCAUAUUUUUAAUUUUCUGGGGAACCUCCAUGCUGUUUUUUUAUAACGACUUUACCCAUUUACAUUCCCACCAAUAGUGAACAAGUGUUUUCUUUUCUCCACGUCUCCACCAACACUUAUUAUCUUUUGCUUUUUUGAUAAAAUACACUCUAAUACGUAUGAGGUGAUAUCUCAUUGCGGUUUUAAUUUACAUUUCCCUGAUGGUUAGUGAUGUUGAGAAUUUUUUCAUAUCUGCAUUGGCCAUUUGUAUGUCUUCUUUUAAGAAAUAUCUAAGUCUUUUGUCCAUUUUUAAUUCUGUUAUUUAUUUUCUUGCUAUUGAUUUGUUUAAGUUCCUUAUAGAUUUUGGAUAUUAACCCCUACCAGAUGUAGCAAACUGAAUUCAAUGGCACAUUAAAAGGAUGGUUCACUAUGAUCAGGUGGGAUUCAAGAAUGGAUCACCAUAUGCAAAUCAAUAAAUGUGAUACACCCCAUUAACAGAAUGAAGAACAAAAACCAUAUGAUCAUCUCAAUAGAUGUAGAAAUGCAUUUGACAAAAUUCAACAUUUUUUAUGAUAAAAACUCUCAACAAAUUAGUUAUAGAAGCAAUGUACCUCAACACCAUAAAGGUCGUGUAUCACAAGCCCACAUAACAUAAUAUGCAAUGGUGAAAAGUUAAAGCUUUUCCUCUAAGAUCAGGCACAGUAUAAGCAUGCCCAAUCUUGCCGUUUCUAUUCAACAUAAUAAUGGAAAUCCUAGCCAAAGUGAUUAGGAAAGAGAAACAAUAAAAAACAUCCAACUCAUAGAUAAGGGAGUUAAAUUGUUUCUGUUUACAGACAAAAUGAUUAUAUAUAUAUAUAUAUAUAUAUAUAUAUAUAUAAUUGUUGGAAAUAAUAAAUGAAUUCAAUAAAGUUUUGAGAUACAAAAGUAAUGUACAAAUAUCAGUAGUGUUUAUAUGCAAUAACAACAAACUCUCCAAAAAACAAAUCAAGAAAAUUAUCCCAUUUAAAAUAGCUACAAAAAUAUAAAAUACUUAGCCAUAAAUUUAACCAAGAAGGUAAAAGAUGUGUAUAUUGAAAACCAUAAAACAUUGAUGAAAGGAAUUGAAGAAGAUACAAAUAAAUGGAAGGAUAUUUUGUGUUCCUGGAGUGGAGUAAUUAAUAUUGUUAAAAUGUCCAUACUACCCAAAGUGAUCUACAGAUUCAAUGCAAUGCAAUCCCUAUAAAAAUUCCAAUUACAUUUUUCCCAGAAGUGGAAAAAAUCCUAAAAUUUGUACGAAACCACAAACGACCCUGAAUAGCCAAAGCAAUAUUGAACAAAAGUGACUAAGCUGGAGGCAUUGCACUUGCUGUUCUCAAAAUGUACUACAAAGGUAUAGUAAUCAAAACAGCAGAGACUGGCGUCAAAACAGACUUAUACAUCAAAGAAACAGAGUAAAGAGCCCAGAAAUAAAUCCAUGAGUUGACAGUUACCUGAUCUUUUUACAAAAGGGCCGAGAACACACAAUGGAAAAAAGAGAGUCUCUUCAAUUAAAUGGUGUUGGUUAAGUGGAUAUCCACAAGCAGAAGAAUGAAAUUAGAUCUUUAUCUCACCCCAUAUACAAAAAUCAACUCAAAAUGGAUUAAAAACUUAAAUAUAAGACCAGAAAUUAUAAGCCUACUAAAAGAAAACAUAGGUAAAACUUCUUGACAUUGGUCUUGGCAAAUAUUUUUUGAAUAUGACACCAAAAGCACCAGCAAAAAAUAAAAAAUUAAAAAAUUUAAAAAAAUAGACAAAUGGGAUUGCGUCAAACUAAAAAGCUAAAAAGCUUCUGUACAACAGUGGAAACAAUCACCAGUGAAAAGACCACCUACAGAAUGAGAUAAAAUAUUUGCAAACCAUAGAGUAGGUGUUUUAAAAUGUAUAAGAUAAUAAAAUGAAUUAUAUGCCCAUAUAUAGGCAAACUUAUGAAAAAUUGAAAAUAUUUUAGAAAAUAAACAUUUAUUGAUUUAAUUGUGGCUCAAAAGAAAAAACAGAAAAUUUGAUCAGCUAUAAAAGUUGUAUACAUUUUACCAUCAUUCCAAAAUAUACUUACCAGCCUUAGCACACCAUGACAUACUUCUGUCCCGGAAAAUUAUACAGGCUUGUUUUAAGAAUAACAAAGGAUUAUGUGGUGUGCAAUCUCAAUAAGUCAAACAUUUUGGUAUAUGUAAGAUCAUAUAUUAAUUCCCAUACUUACAGCUUCAGCUCUUUAAUAUUGGUGUAUCAUGUCAUAGACUGAGUCAAAUUUUUUUCAUCAACUGCAAAAGAAAACUUCGAUAUUUUAAGUGAGUUUAUCACAAUGGGUUUAUUAUGUUUACAUAUUUGUUUUAUCUGCUUUAUUUGGGAUUUAUUUUCUCACAUUAUUUUUAUGCUUCCUUGUAAUGCAUCUAUGGUAUGAAACUUAGACAACAUACAAUGUAAAUUUAUAUCCUAGCUCAUUUCACUUUUUGUUUUAAUCUGCAGAAAUUUCAGAACAAAAUUUACAGUUGAAUUUUAGUAUCACAAGGGCAUUAUCACAUGCAUUUUUUCUAGAGUAAUUUUAUAUAUUCUAUUUUCAUAGUAUUCCCCACAUAUAUAAUUCCUUCCCAUGUUCCAUUUAUAUAUUUAUAAUAAUACAUACUUAUUUGUUUUUAUUUUUUGUGUAUCAUCUUGUUGUACAUAACCAUAUACAGCAUUUGGAAUAAAAGGUGAAGUAAAUGUAAAAAGAAACCCAAAAUCCAAAAACCCAGAUUCAGUAGCAAUUUAGCAAGAAAUAUAUUUUUAAAUAAGCCCUUAUAUAGAGAGAACACUUUCAACUGAAAGUUCUAGCCUACUAAGCCUGUAUCACCUGAAUUUUUUAAUAACAAACUAUUCAAAAUCAUAUAUUUUUUUUUACUUUUACUUAAGACUUUUAUAAUCCAUUGCUCAACAGUUAGUAUAAAAUGAUGAAUGCUUAUUUUCUGUAAUUUUUGUAUAAAUUUAAAAAUGUAAGUAUUCUAAAUCUGUUUAGACAUGAUUUAUCUUGAUACAUUUCCACAAUGUGCAUUUUUAUAUGAGCUAUUUUCAAAACUAAAGAUAAAUUUUUAUCCUCUUAUGAUAUUAUGGCUUAUUCUUUGGCUGUAAAUUUACCUGUUUUUACACUAUUAAAUUUGAGUAUAUGCAGUUC